GGCUGAAAUUCGCCUUCAUGAAGCUGGAAUUGCUAGUAAUGGCAGGUCGGCAUACUGCCGUGAAUACGUUCCCGGGGCCUUGUACACACCGCCCGUCACACCAUGAGAGUUGGAAAUACCCGAAGCCUGUGAGCUAACUUAAAGAGGCAGCAGUCGAAGGUAGAGCCAAUGAUUGGGGUGAAGUCGUAACAAGGUAGC
This 198-nucleotide ribosomal RNA is filed under the name uncultured bacterium. RNAcentral's name for it is "partial 16S ribosomal RNA". It matches the Rfam family "Bacterial small subunit ribosomal RNA", at positions 1303 to 1500 of the family's 1533-position model. The record is from RNAcentral.